CGGGGUGCAGCAGGCGCGAAAACUCUACAAUGCAGGCAACUGCGAUAGGGGGACAUCGAGUGGCAUCCACCUUGGGUGCCUGUCCAACCGUCUAAAAAACGGUUGUUAGCAAGGGCCGGGUAAGACCGGUGCCAGCCGCCGCGGUAAUACCGGCGGCUCGAGUGGUGGCCGAUAUUAUUGAGUCUAAAGGGUCCGUAGCCGGCUUUGCAAGUCCCCUGGGAAAUCCAGCGGCUUAACCGUUGGGCUUUCAUGGGAUACUACAUUGCUUGGGACUGGGAGAGGUAGGAGGUACUCGGGGGGUAGGGGUGAAAUCCUGUAAUCCUCCGGGGACCACCGGUGGCGAAGGCGUCCUACCAGAACAGGUCCGACGGUGAGGGACGAAAGCUAGGGGCACGAACCGGAUUAGAUACCCGGGUAGUCCUAGCCGUAAACGAUGCCCGCUAGGUGUCACGACGGUCGUGAAUCGUCGUGGUGCCGUAGGGAAGCCGCGAAGCGGGCCACUUGGGAAGUACGGCCGCAAGGCUGAAACUUAAAGGAAUUGGCGGGGGAGCACAAGGGCGAAUUG
Molecule: ribosomal RNA, 565 nt
Filed under: uncultured archaeon
Lineage: Archaea
Description: bacterial SSU rRNA
Rfam family: Archaeal small subunit ribosomal RNA
Source: RNAcentral